GACGAACGCUGGCGGCGUGCUUAACACAUGCAAGUCGAACGGAAAGGCCCUGCUUUUGUGGGGUGCUCGAGUGGCGAACGGGUGAGUAACACGUGAGUAACCUGCCCUUGACUUUGGGAUAACUCCAGGAAACUGGGGCUAAUACCGGAUAGGAGCUCCUGCUGCAUGGUGGGGGUUGGAAAGUUUCGGCGGUUGGGGAUGGACUCGCGGCUUAUCAGCUUGUUGGUGGGGUAGUGGCUUACCAAGGCUUUGACGGGUAGCCGGCCUGAGAGGGUGACCGGCCACAUUGGGACUGAGAUACGGCGCAGACUCCUACGGGAGGCAGCAGUGGGGAAUAUUGCACAAUGGGCGGAAGCCUGAUGCAGCAACGCCGCGUGCGGGAUGACGGCCUUCGGGUUGUAAACCGCUUUCGCCUGUGACGAAGCGUGAGUGACGGUAAUGGGUAAAGAAGCACCGGCUAACUACGUG
This 468-nucleotide ribosomal RNA is filed under the name uncultured bacterium. RNAcentral's name for it is "partial 16S ribosomal RNA". It matches the Rfam family "Bacterial small subunit ribosomal RNA", at positions 28 to 507 of the family's 1533-position model. The record is from RNAcentral.